GAACGCAUCUUGCGCUCUUUGGUAUUCCGAAGAGCAUGCCUGUUUGAGUGUCAUGAAACUCUCACCUCCAAUCUUUUUUAACUAGAAGGUUGGGGCGUGGACGUGAGUGCUGCUGGUGCCCUGGUUGCAUCGGCUCACUUGAAAUUCAUUAGCUGAAUCCUUUAAAGUAGGUUCUACUCGACGUGAUAAGAUCUCCGUCGAGGACAGUGCUUCGGCAUUGGCCAACGAUAAAGUUGAUACGCUUCUAAUUAGCGCAGACUUCGAGUGCUGGCAAUUUUGACAACUUGGCCUCAAAUCAGGUAGGACUACCCACUGAACUUAAG
Molecule: unclassified non-coding RNA, 323 nt
Filed under: Cystofilobasidium capitatum
Lineage: Eukaryota; Fungi; Basidiomycota; Tremellomycetes; Cystofilobasidiales; Cystofilobasidiaceae
Description: sequence contains 5.8S rRNA gene
Rfam family: 5.8S ribosomal RNA (bases 1-53)
Source: RNAcentral